GAUGAACGCUGGCGGCGUGCCUAAUACAUGCAAGUCGAGCGAACAGAUGAGGAGCUUGCUCCUCUGACGUUAGCGGCGGACGGGUGAGUAACACGUGGAUAACCUACCUAUAAGACUGGGAUAACUUCGGGAAACCGGAGCUAAUACCGGAUAAUAUAUUGAACCGCAUGGUUCAAUAGUGAAAGACGGUUUUGCUGUCACUUAUAGAUGGAUCCGCGCCGCAUUAGCUAGUUGGUAAGGUAACGGCUUACCAAGGCAACGAUGCGUAGCCGACCUGAGAGGGAGAUCGGGCACACUGGAAAAGAGACACGGAACAAGCUCAAGCGGGAGGAGGGAGAAGGAAAUUAUCAGAAAAGGGGGAAAGCCUAAGGGGAGAACGACGGGUGGGUGAUAAGGGGCUUCGGAUAAGAAAAAGCUGUUAUGAGGGAAGAAAAAAUGGGUAAGUAACUGUAAACAUUAGAACGGUAACCAAUCAGAAAGCAAAGGCUAACAACGU
Molecule: ribosomal RNA, 496 nt
Filed under: uncultured bacterium
Lineage: Bacteria
Description: partial 16S ribosomal RNA
Rfam family: Bacterial small subunit ribosomal RNA
Source: RNAcentral